RNAcentral lists this ribosomal RNA (2901 nucleotides) under Shigella flexneri 4343-70. RNAcentral describes it as "23S ribosomal RNA". Lineage: Bacteria; Pseudomonadati; Pseudomonadota; Gammaproteobacteria; Enterobacterales; Enterobacteriaceae. The record is from RNAcentral.
AAGGUUAAGCCUCACGGUUCAUUAGUACCGGUUAGCUCAACGCAUCGCUGCGCUUACACACCCGGCCUAUCAACGUCGUCGUCUUCAACGUUCCUUCAGGACCCUUAAAGGGUCAGGGAGAACUCAUCUCGGGGCAAGUUUCGUGCUUAGAUGCUUUCAGCACUUAUCUCUUCCGCAUUUAGCUACCGGGCAGUGCCAUUGGCAUGACAACCCGAACACCAGUGAUGCGUCCACUCCGGUCCUCUCGUACUAGGAGCAGCCCCCUCAGUUCUCCAGCGCCCACGGCAGAUAGGGACCGAACUGUCUCACGACGUUCUAAACCCAGCUCGCGUACCACUUUAAAUGGCGAACAGCCAUACCCUUGGGACCUACUUCAGCCCCAGGAUGUGAUGAGCCGACAUCGAGGUGCCAAACACCGCCGUCGAUAUGAACUCUUGGGCGGUAUCAGCCUGUUAUCCCCGGAGUACCUUUUAUCCGUUGAGCGAUGGCCCUUCCAUUCAGAACCACCGGAUCACUAUGACCUGCUUUCGCACCUGCUCGCGCCGUCACGCUCGCAGUCAAGCUGGCUUAUGCCAUUGCACUAACCUCCUGAUGUCCGACCAGGAUUAGCCAACCUUCGUGCUCCUCCGUUACUCUUUAGGAGGAGACCGCCCCAGUCAAACUACCCACCAGACACUGUCCGCAACCCGGAUCACGGGUCCACGUUAGAACAUCAAACAUUAAAGGGUGGUAUUUCAAGGUCGGCUCCAUGCAGACUGGCGUCCACACUUCAAAGCCUCCCACCUAUCCUACACAUCAAGGCUCAAUGUUCAGUGUCAAGCUAUAGUAAAGGUUCACGGGGUCUUUCCGUCUUGCCGCGGGUACACUGCAUCUUCACAGCGAGUUCAAUUUCACUGAGUCUCGGGUGGAGACAGCCUGGCCAUCAUUACGCCAUUCGUGCAGGUCGGAACUUACCCGACAAGGAAUUUCGCUACCUUAGGACCGUUAUAGUUACGGCCGCCGUUUACCGGGGCUUCGAUCAAGAGCUUCGCUUGCGCUAACCCCAUCAAUUAACCUUCCGGCACCGGGCAGGCGUCACACCGUAUACGUCCACUUUCGUGUUUGCACAGUGCUGUGUUUUUAAUAAACAGUUGCAGCCAGCUGGUAUCUUCGACUGAUUUCAGCUCCACGAGCAAGUCGCUUCACCUACGUAUCAGCGUGCCUUCUCCCGAAGUUACGGCACCAUUUUGCCUAGUUCCUUCACCCGAGUUCUCUCAAGCGCCUUGGUAUUCUCUACCUGACCACCUGUGUCGGUUUGGGGUACGAUUUGAUGUUACCUGAUGCUUAGAGGCUUUUCCUGGAAGCAGGGCAUUUGUUGCUUCAGCACCGUAGUGCCUCGUCAUCACGCCUCGGCCUUGAUUUUCCGGAUUUGCCUGGAAAACCAGCCUACACGCUUAAACCGGGACAACCGUCGCCCGGCCAACAUAGCCUUCUCCGUCCCCCCUUCGCAGUAACACCAAGUACAGGAAUAUUAACCUGUUUCCCAUCGACUACGCCUUUCGGCCUCGCCUUAGGGGUCGACUCACCCUGCCCCGAUUAACGUUGGACAGGAACCCUUGGUCUUCCGGCGAGCGGGCUUUUCACCCGCUUUAUCGUUACUUAUGUCAGCAUUCGCACUUCUGAUACCUCCAGCAUACCUCACAGCACACCUUCACAGGCUUACAGAACGCUCCCCUACCCAACAACGCAUAAGCGUCGCUGCCGCAGCUUCGGUGCAUGGUUUAGCCCCGUUACAUCUUCCGCGCAGGCCGACUCGACCAGUGAGCUAUUACGCUUUCUUUAAAAUGAUGGCUGCUUCUAAGCCAACAUCCUGGCUGUCUGGGCCUUCCCACAUCGUUUCCCACUUAACCAUGACUUUGGGACCUUAGCUGGCGGUCUGGGUUGUUUCCCUCUUCACGACGGACGUUAGCACCCGCCGUGUGUCUCCCGUAAUAACAUUCUCCGGUAUUCGCAGUUUGCAUCGGGUUGGUAAGUCGGGAUGACCCCCUUGCCGAAACAGUGCUCUACCCCCGGAGAUGAAUUCACGAGGCGCUACCUAAAUAGCUUUCGGGGAGAACCAGCUAUCUCCCGGUUUGAUUGGCCUUUCACCCCCAGCCACAAGUCAUCCGCUAAUUUUUCAACAUUAGUCGGUUCGGUCCUCCAGUUAGUGUUACCCAACCUUCAACCUGCCCAUGGCUAGAUCACCGGGUUUCGGGUCUAUACCCUGCAACUUAACGCCCAGUUAAGACUCGGUUUCCCUUCGGCUCCCCUAUUCGGUUAACCUUGCUACAGAAUAUAAGUCGCUGACCCAUUAUACAAAAGGUACGCAGUCACACGCCUAAGCGUGCUCCCACUGCUUGUACGUACACGGUUUCAGGUUCUUUUUCACUCCCCUCGCCGGGUUCUUUUCGCCUUUCCCUCACGGUACUGGUUCACUAUCGGUCAGUCAGGAGUAUUUAGCCUUGGAGGAUGGUCCCCCCAUAUUCAGACAGGAUACCACGUGUCCCGCCCUACUCAUCGAGCUCACAGUAUGUGUAUUUUUGUGUACGGGGCUGUCACCCUGUAUCGCACGCCUUUCCAGACGCUUCCACUAACACACACACUGAUUCAGGCUCUGGGCUGCUCCCCGUUCGCUCGCCGCUACUGGGGGAAUCUCGGUUGAUUUCUUUUCCUCGGGGUACUUAGAUGUUUCAGUUCCCCCGGUUCGCCUCAUUAACCUAUGGAUUCAGUUAAUGAUAGUGUGACGAAUCACACUGGGUUUCCCCAUUCGGAAAUCGCCGGUUAUAACGGUUCAUAUCACCUUACCGACGCUUAUCGCAGAUUAGCACGUCCUUCAUCGCCUCUGACUGCCAGGGCAUCCACCGUGUACGCUUAGUCGCUUAA